This 982-nucleotide ribosomal RNA is filed under the name Acinetobacter johnsonii. Its description in RNAcentral is "bacterial SSU rRNA". It matches the Rfam family "Bacterial small subunit ribosomal RNA", at positions 88 to 1065 of the family's 1533-position model. The record is from RNAcentral. Lineage: Bacteria; Pseudomonadati; Pseudomonadota; Gammaproteobacteria; Moraxellales; Moraxellaceae.
UGACCUAGCGGCGGACGGGUGAGUAAUGCUUAGGAAUCUGCCUAUUAGUGGGGGACAACAUUCCGAAAGGAAUGCUAAUACCGCAUACGCCCUACGGGGGAAAGCAGGGGAUCUUCGGACCUUGCGCUAAUAGAUGAGCCUAAGUCAGAUUAGCUAGUUGGUGGGGUAAAGGCCUACCAAGGCGACGAUCUGUAGCGGGUCUGAGAGGAUGAUCCGCCACACUGGGACUGAGACACGGCCCAGACUCCUACGGGAGGCAGCAGUGGGGAAUAUUGGACAAUGGGCGAAAGCCUGAUCCAGCCAUGCCGCGUGUGUGAAGAAGGCCUUUUGGUUGUAAAGCACUUUAAGCGAGGAGGAGGCUACUUGGAUUAAUACUCUAGGAUAGUGGACGUUACUCGCAGAAUAAGCACCGGCUAACUCUGUGCCAGCAGCCGCGGUAAUACAGAGGGUGCGAGCGUUAAUCGGAUUUACUGGGCGUAAAGCGUGCGUAGGCGGCUUUUUAAGUCGGAUGUGAAAUCCCUGAGCUUAACUUAGGAAUUGCAUUCGAUACUGGGAAGCUAGAGUAUGGGAGAGGAUGGUAGAAUUCCAGGUGUAGCGGUGAAAUGCGUAGAGAUCUGGAGGAAUACCGAUGGCGAAGGCAGCCAUCUGGCCUAAUACUGACGCUGAGGUACGAAAGCAUGGGGAGCAAACAGGAUUAGAUACCCUGGUAGUCCAUGCCGUAAACGAUGUCUACUAGCCGUUGGGGCCUUUGAGGCUUUAGUGGCGCAGCUAACGCGAUAAGUAGACCGCCUGGGGAGUACGGUCGCAAGACUAAAACUCAAAUGAAUUGACGGGGGCCCGCACAAGCGGUGGAGCAUGUGGUUUAAUUCGAUGCAACGCGAAGAACCUUACCUGGUCUUGACAUAGUAAGAACUUUCCAGAGAUGGAUUGGUGCCUUCGGGAACUUACAUACAGGUGCUGCAUGGCUGUCGUCAGCUCGUGU